RNAcentral lists this ribosomal RNA (471 nucleotides) under uncultured bacterium. RNAcentral's name for it is "partial 16S ribosomal RNA". It matches the Rfam family "Bacterial small subunit ribosomal RNA", at positions 28 to 507 of the family's 1533-position model. The record is from RNAcentral.
GACGAACGCUGGCGGCGUGCUUAACACAUGCAAGUCGAACGAUGAAGCCUAGCUUGCUAGGUGGAUUAGUGGCGAACGGGUGAGUAAUACGUGAGUAACCUACCUUUAACUCUGGGAUAAGCCCGGGAAACUGGGUCUAAUACCGGAUACGACCAAUCUCCGCAUGGGGUGUUGGUGGAAAGCGUUAUGUAGUGGUUAUAGAUGGGCUCACGGCCUAUCAGCUUGUUGGUGAGGUAACGGCUCACCAAGGCGACGACGGGUAGCCGGCCUGAGAGGGUGACCGGCCACACUGGGACUGAGACACGGCCCAGACUCCUACGGGAGGCAGCAGUGGGGAAUAUUGCACAAUGGGCGCAAGCCUGAUGCAGCGACGCCGCGUGAGGGAUGACGGCCUUCGGGUUGUAAACCUCUGUUAGCAGGGAAGAAGAGAGAUUGACGGUACCGGGAGAAAAAGCGCCGGCUAACUACGUG